GAUGAACGCUGGCGGCGUGCCUAAUACAUGCAAGUCGAGCGAACGGACGAGAAGCUUGCUUUUCUGAUGUUAGCGGCGGACGGGUGAGUAACACGUGGAUAACCUACCUAUAAGACUGGGAUAACUUCGGGAAACCGGAGCUAAUACCGGAUAAUAUUUUGAACCGCAUGGUUCAAAAGUGAAAGACGGUCUUGCUGUCACUUAUAGAUGGAUCCGCGCUGCAUUAGCUAGUUGGUAAGGUAACGGCUUACCAAGGCAACGAUGCAUAGCCGACCUGAGAGGGUGAUCGGCCACACUGGAACUGAGACACGGUCCAGACUCCUACGGGAGGCAGCAGUAGGGAAUCUUCCGCAAUGGGCGAAAGCCUGACGGAGCAACGCCGCGUGAGUGAUGAAGGUCUUCGGAUCGUAAAACUCUGUUAUUAGGGAAGAACAUAUGUGUAAGUAACUGCGCACAUCUUGACGGUACCUAACCAGAGAGCCACGGCUAACUACGUG
RNAcentral lists this ribosomal RNA (497 nucleotides) under uncultured bacterium. Its description in RNAcentral is "partial 16S ribosomal RNA". It matches the Rfam family "Bacterial small subunit ribosomal RNA", at positions 28 to 507 of the family's 1533-position model. The record is from RNAcentral.